This 767-nucleotide ribosomal RNA is filed under the name Setipinna tenuifilis (common hairfin anchovy). RNAcentral's name for it is "partial 16S ribosomal RNA". The stretch from base 1 to 509 matches the Rfam family "Bacterial large subunit ribosomal RNA", at positions 585 to 1301 of the family's 2925-position model. Lineage: Eukaryota; Metazoa; Chordata; Actinopteri; Clupeiformes; Engraulidae. The record is from RNAcentral.
GCAGAGAACCCCCCUCGUACCUUUUGCAUCAUGAUUCAGCCAGUAAAAUAUAUGCAAAGAGACCUCUAGUUUAUAACCCCGAAACCCGACGAGCUACUCCGAGACAGCCUAUACAGGGCCAACCCGUCUCUGUAGCAAAAGAGUGGGAAGAUCUCCGAGUAGUAGCAAAAGACCUACCGAGCCGGGUUAUAGCUGGUUGCCCAAUAAAUGAAUAAAAGUUCAGCCCCGUUAAGCCCUACUCACAACAGUCAUACACCAAAAGACGAAGAGCUACUAGACGGGAGUUAAUCAGAGGAGGUACAGCUCCCCUGAUUAAGGAUACAACCUUAAAAGAAGAUUAAGGAAUAUAGUUAAAUAAGGCCACAGGUCUCAGUGGGCCUAAAAGCAGCCAUCUGAUUCGAAAGCGUUAAAGCUCAGACCUUUACUAAGCCUAUUAUCUUAUCAAACCACUCCAAAAUCCCUUUAUACACUGGGCCUCUCUAUGUACCCAUAGAAGAGAUUAUGCUGAAAUGAGUAACAAGAAGAAUGAACUUCUCCCAGCACAAGUGUAAAUCGAAUUGGACCCACCACCGACAAUUAACGAACCCAAUAAAAGAGGGCCAUACACCACCGCCACCAAAAACCAAGAAAACCAUGUUAACCAAAUCGUUAUCCCCACACAGGAGUGCUCAACCAAGGAAAGACUAAAAGGAAGAAAAGGAACUCGGCAAACCCAAACCCCGCCUGUUUACCAAAAACAUCGCCUCUUGCCCAUACCAGUAUAAGAG